UCUUGGAGAAAGGCAGCCCAGCUUCUGGAAGGGGAACAUAAUAUACUAUUUGAAAAGGUAAGGUCCAGAUAUAUUUAAGUUACUCUUUAUAUAAAAAUGAGUGUUCAUACAAUAUGUGCCGCAAAUGUGUUGAAGUUGGUGGGGAUAUUAAUGCUUAUUUUGCUUUGGCUACAUUAGCUAACUAGCACCAAUUAAUGGCCGAAUGUUUCGCAAUUUCAUCAGUUAAUGAACUGGCUCUUUUUAUGUAUUUAUUUGUACUCGUUUUUUAAGUUCUAAGUAAUAAGGCCGAUUUAGCAGGGCUACCCAAGCUGUAGCUAUUUAGCUAGCCAGGCUGGGUAAAUUAUCUAUGCUAAUGUGUUUUCAACAGAAGAGAAACACCUGGUGGGUUCUGGAGGGUGCUUGAAACGUUUCUGUCAGGCUUUUAUCCUCGCCUUGAAAAAAAGUGGUGAAGUGGAGCAGAGAGAUCGCCAUCUCUGUGCCGAGUUCCAAGUGCGGGUGUGGUGACGUAUAUCAUAUGCGUCGAGAGCAGCGAAGAGCUGUAGUACACAAAGCAGGUGACCUUGGGUGUCUUGAAAGGAGCCUCUAAAUUAAAUGUAUUAUUAUUUAUAUUAUUAAAGCGGCCUCAAAUAAAACCUAAAAUUAUCAAACUUCUUCACUGAAAUUUUUAGUUUUCUUUGCAUAAAAAAUUAUCAUUUAAAUCCACAAACAACAUAUGUGUAAUCCAGGGCAUAUAAAGACUGGGACCAGAAAAUAAUUAUUUUCUCUCCAUUGACACCCAUUCAUAUUUUUCGAUCUCAUAGGUCCCAUGAGCUCUACCGGAAAGGGCGUGACUUCGCCACUCUAUAACUCCUGGCAAAGGAAUAAUUAAAACUUUAACAUUAUCUCCAGUUUUUUUUUUUUUAGAUGAGGCAUCAUGUUGUUGAAUGUGAAAUACCAGGGUACCAAGAAGUACAUCAGAUUGCAGUCAGGCUUCACCUAUUUGGAAUUCAUCAAUGAAGUCAAAAGCAAGCUUGGUCUUCCUGAUGCGGCAGUGGAUGAAGACAUCCUUCUUGAACUGAUAAGAGUCCAAUCCUGACUUAUGCCUGACAGUAUGUGACAGCUUUCCAGUUGAAGGUAGGCCCAUCUGCUGUUUUUGCUGAACAAAAUGGUAGAGAUAGACUGCUGU
Molecule: long non-coding RNA, 1165 nt
Filed under: Gadus morhua (Atlantic cod)
Lineage: Eukaryota; Metazoa; Chordata; Actinopteri; Gadiformes; Gadidae
Description: lncRNA (ENSGMOG00000036079.1)
Source: RNAcentral